AUCUGGCUCUUCACAAAAAGUCUGCCAACUUCUGCUUUAGAAUGUUCCUUAUGGCUGAGUACAGCACAACACAGUAAAUCCUUGUCACUUCAGACUUAUUAGUUAAGUAUGCCCCAAAAUAAAACAUUUGGUCAGGCUUAUGUUUCACCACUAAGAUAGGUUUUGUAGGUGGGGGAAGGGAAAAUCAAUAAAAAAAGAUGAUAACUUAAGGAAUUUACAGUCUAACCAGAGUCGACAGCAACAGUCAUUAACAACUAACACUUGCAUGGCACUUAUGUGUCAAAUGCUAUUUUAAAUUCCUUACAUAUAUUAACUUCUUCACUAUUAUUAUCCUUAUUUCAAAGGUGAAGAAACUGAGGCACGGGGAAAUUAAGUGCUUUGGUCGGUGCCACACAAAUUAAAGUAGUAAAGCCAAGUGAAUGUUAGAGGUAUGACUCAAGAGCUUGUGCUCUUGCCUCACCAUAAUAAUAGCUGUUGAUUAUUGAAAGCUCUCUAUAUGCCAGACAAUGCACUAAGUCUUCUACACACGUUAUUUAAGCCUUACAACAAAUUUAUAGGGUAUUCUCUCCAUUUUAUAGGUCAUAAAAAUGAAGCCUAAGGCUGGGGGCCAUGCCUCAUGUCUGUAAUCCCAACACUUUGGGAGGCUGAAGUAGGAGGAUGGUUUGAGUCCAGCUGUUUGAGACCAGCCUAGGCAACAUAGUGAGACCCUGCCUCUACAAAAAAAUUUAAAAAAUUAGGCUAGGCAUUUUGGCUCAUGCCUGUAAUCUCAAAACUUUAGGAGGCUGAGGUGGGGGGAUCACUUGAGACCAGGGAGGAGUUCGAGACCAGCCUGGGCAACACAGUGAGACCCUGUCUCUACAAAAAAAUAAAAAAAUUAGCUCGGUAUGGUGGUGCACACUUGCGGUCCCAGCUACUCGGGAGGCUGAGAUGAGAGGAUUGGUUGAGCCUAGGAGGAUGAAGCCACAGUGAGCCAUGAUUACAUCACUGCACUCCAGCCUGGGCAACAGAGCAAGAACCUAUCUCAAAAAAAAAAAAAAUACAUAAAUAAAAUAAUUUUUUGUCUUGUUUUUAUCAUCUUUAGCUAAAAAAAAAAAAUUAAUAAAAAAAAAUUAGCCAGGGGUGGUGGCACACGCCUAUGAUCCCAGCUAUUCAGAAGGCUGAGGUGGGAAGAUCGCUUAAGCCCAGGAGGUCAAGGCUGCAGUGGGCCGUGAUCACGCCACUGCAUUCCAGCCUGGGCAGAGACCCUGUCUCAAAAAAAACAAAAACAAAAACCAAACAAGGCCUAAUCAAAUCAGGGCUACAUGGAAUAAAUGACUUAACUAUAUAAGGUACAAAAUUAUGCUCUCUACACCAUGCUAUGGACACCUCCCUCAAGGAGUGGAUGCUCACAGGCCCUGGGGAGUUAAUAGAGAA
This 1413-nucleotide long non-coding RNA is filed under the name Homo sapiens (human). Its description in RNAcentral is "HSALNT0236427". Lineage: Eukaryota; Metazoa; Chordata; Mammalia; Primates; Hominidae. The record is from RNAcentral.